This 494-nucleotide ribosomal RNA is filed under the name uncultured bacterium. RNAcentral describes it as "partial 16S ribosomal RNA". It matches the Rfam family "Bacterial small subunit ribosomal RNA", at positions 28 to 507 of the family's 1533-position model. The record is from RNAcentral.
GACGAACGCUGGCGGCGUGCUUAACACAUGCAAGUCGAACGGAAAGGCCUGCUUUCCCUUGUGGAUUGCGGGUACUCGAGUGGCGAACGGGUGAGUAACACGUGAGUGAUCUGCCCCCAACUUGGGUAUAAGCCUGGGAAACUGGGUCUAAUUCCCGAUAGGACUGCAGGGUGGUGCCUGUGGUGGAAAACGAUUUUCUAGUGGUUGGGGAUGAGCUCGCGGCCUAUCAGCUUGUUGGUGGGGUAAUGGCCUACCAAGGCGGCGACGGGUAGCCGGCCUGGGAGGGUGGACGGCCACAUUGAGACUGGGAUACGGCCCAGACUCCUACGGGAGGCAGCAGUGGGGAAUAUUGCACAAUGAGCGGAAGCCUGAUGCAGCGACGCCGCGUGGGGGAUGACGGCCUUCGGGUUGUAAACUCCUUUCGACCGCGAGGAAGCCACCUGGUUGGAAGGGUGGUGACGGUAGUGGUAGAAGAAGCACCGGCUAACUACGUG